GCAACUCGCCUACAUGAAGUCGGAGUUGCAAGUAAUCGCGGAUCAGAAUGCCGCGGUGAAUGCGUUCCCGGGUCUUGUACACACCGCCCGUCACACCAUGGAAGUUGGGGGCGCCCGAAGUUGCCUAAGAAAUAGGGUACCUAAGGCGAAACCAAUGACUGGGGUGAAGUCGUAACAAGGUAAC
RNAcentral lists this ribosomal RNA (184 nucleotides) under uncultured bacterium. RNAcentral's name for it is "partial 16S ribosomal RNA". It matches the Rfam family "Bacterial small subunit ribosomal RNA", at positions 1307 to 1500 of the family's 1533-position model. The record is from RNAcentral.